Molecule: transfer RNA, 74 nt
Filed under: Nanobdellota archaeon
Lineage: Archaea; Nanobdellati; Nanobdellota
Also listed under: 1 other name
Description: Nanoarchaeota archaeon tRNA-Pro
Rfam family: tRNA
About the family: Transfer RNA (tRNA) molecules are approximately 80 nucleotides in length. Their secondary structure includes four short double-helical elements and three loops (D, anti-codon, and T loops). Further hydrogen bonds mediate the characteristic L-shaped molecular structure. tRNAs have two regions of fundamental functional importance: the anti-codon, which is responsible for specific mRNA codon recognition, and the 3' end, to which the tRNAs corresponding amino acid is attached (by aminoacyl-tRNA synthetases). tRNAs cope with the degeneracy of the genetic code in two manners: having more than one tRNA (with a specific anti-codon) for a particular amino acid; and 'wobble' base-pairing, i.e. permitting non-standard base-pairing at the 3rd anti-codon position.
Source: RNAcentral
GGGGCCGUAGUCUAGCUUGGUCAGGACCCGAGGUUUGGGACCUCGUGACCCCGGUUCAAAUCCGGGCGGCCCCA